UGGGAUGUAGCCAAGUGGUAAGGCAUAGGAUUGCAAUGCAAAUCCUAAUAUCGAGGGUUCGAAUCCCUUCAUCUCAU
This 77-nucleotide transfer RNA is filed under the name Bacillus licheniformis. RNAcentral describes it as "tRNA-Cys". It matches the Rfam family "tRNA". Rfam says of the family: Transfer RNA (tRNA) molecules are approximately 80 nucleotides in length. Their secondary structure includes four short double-helical elements and three loops (D, anti-codon, and T loops). The record is from RNAcentral. Lineage: Bacteria; Bacillati; Bacillota; Bacilli; Caryophanales; Bacillaceae.